Non-coding RNA from Jatropha curcas, 1718 nucleotides. Lineage: Eukaryota; Viridiplantae; Streptophyta; Magnoliopsida; Malpighiales; Euphorbiaceae. The record is from RefSeq and is a predicted model, not a curated record.
CAAACCCUAACCUUCUUAAGUCAUUCUCUGUCCUAACUAUUCCCAAGCUCUACCCAUUCUCUCAUUCUCUUAAUGGCCAUCGUUCUUUCAUCGCUUUCCGUCAUCGUUAAUCACUUCUCCAAAAUGAAGAAGACAAUGCUCUUUCUGGAGAACUCGAUUUGAUACUCCACCUCAUGGUUAGAUAGUUUUGUCCCUCGUGAUCUAUCUUUGUGCUCACGCCAUCUUUGUUCAAUCCCUAACCCCUAGCUUCCUCGACGCUACUUUCUGAGCAAAAGCCCUCGCUGUCUCUAAACUUGUCGUUGAACUAUCUCCAUCACCAUCUCCGUUGCUUAUGAAAAAGUCAGGUAGCUUCGUGAUUCUCGCUCCUCGGGACCUUAUUACCCGUAAUAUGCAGGGUUUUCUUGUGAUACCAAUGAAACCGUACUAAAAAAUGCUUUCGAGAACAUUUAGAAAUAAUUGAAGAUAAUUUAUAGAGCGACCAAGUUCAGUGAUUUUGACUUUCUUUUUCUUUUUUAGAAAUUUCUUUUAAUAAAGCUAACUAAUUUAAAUUUUAUGUUUGAUUUAGUUAAGAUUAUAUGCUAUCGUUUGAGUAGGAAAUCAAAAGGGUAUGAGUUCGUGCAGUUCACAGCCUCUAGCUUUGAAGGAAAUGAAUGGUAAGUGCUUGCUGUACGUAGUUACAAAUUAGUAUGGGCUCCCUCUAUAAACUGCAGUACACUACCAGAGUUCUAUUCUUUUUAUCUUCCUUUGUCUUUCUCUUCAUUCUCAAAUUUAAUAUAUAUAACCUUUAAAAAAGAAUAUAAACACCAAUUAAGCUUUAUAAUUAGCUUAUCAUCACGCCUUUUUUUUUCUUUUCUUUUUUUAUUUUUUAGAAUGCAUGGAGUAGAAUUUAAAGAAGUAAUUUUUAUAGGAGUAGAUAAGUAAAUGUAAGCAGAGAAGAAGCAACAAGUUAGAACCAUAGCACUUUGAACCAUUUCAUUUUUGGGCACCCUUUUUUUAUAUUUUUGGAUUUGGAGCACACCUACCUGGAAAAGGCAUUACUAGUUAACCCUAUAACACUUUUCAACUUCUAAUUUUAUUUGGAUAGAUUAAUUAAGUCUAAUGGGUACAUAAACUGAUCCAUUUAAUUAAUCAUUUUUCUUCUUUAAUUUAGUCAUUAAGUUCUCUGCCCCUUAAUUUAAGAUUCUGCCAUUUGCAUUUAUUUAGUGAUAAUAAGGUAAGAAAGUUAUCAAUAUAUUAAUAUAUUGCAUGGCCUUUUUCAUUUAAUAAAAAAUAAAAACAGGCAUAGAUAUACAUUUUGAAUUUGGAAACUUUGGUUUCUAGAACCUAAAAAUAUAUGGAACUUUUUUGGAUGUUGGAUAUGUGCGCAUAAAAUAGCUUUUAUUGUUUGGAUAUAUUGUUCUUCUUUGUCCUUUAUGCUUGCUUGUUAAUGAUAUAAAGGAGACAGAGCGCUAUACCGACUGGGCUACAAACAUCACAGCUUCAAUCUCAGCAAUCAUUUUCACAAGGAAUUUCAUCUCAGCAUGUCUUGUUUUCUCAGCUCUCACAGAUACUCACACUGAUGCUCAUGGUUAUAGUACACCAUCAAAGUAGACUUCAGUUAAUUUGUAUUAACAUAUAUAAGUUUAUUAGUACCCAUUAGACUUACAGUUUGUAUUUGUAAGAAUUUCUAUUGUCUUGAUGCUUUAUAUAUACUUUAAAUUAUUUUAAUUUUAUGUUAA